Molecule: long non-coding RNA, 431 nt
Organism: Oncorhynchus tshawytscha (Chinook salmon)
Lineage: Eukaryota; Metazoa; Chordata; Actinopteri; Salmoniformes; Salmonidae
Source: Ensembl
GGUGGUUGUAUCUCUAUAGGGGUGGUUGUAUCUCUAUAUCUCUAUAGGGGUGGUUGUAUCUCUAUAGGGGUGGUUGUAUCUCUAUAGUGAGAGGGGUGGUUGUAUCUCUAUAGUGAGAGGGGUGGUUGUAUCUCUAUAGAGGGGUGGUUGUAUCUCUAUAGUGAGAGGGGUGGUUGUACCUCUAUCUCUAAGGGGGUGGUUGUAUCUCUAUAGUGAGAGGGGUGGUUGUAUCUCUAUAGGGGUGGUGUAUCUCUAUAGGGGUGGUUGUAUCUCUAUAGUGAGAGGGGUGGUUGUAUCUCUAUAGGGAGGGGGGGUGGUUGUAUCUCUAUAGUGAGAGGGGUGGUUGUAUCUCUAUAGUGAGAGGGGUGGUUGUAUCUCUAUAGUGAGAGGGGUGGUUGUAUCUCUAUAGUGAGAGGGGUGGUUGUAUCUCU